This is an RNA transcript of Coturnix japonica (Japanese quail), 1517 nucleotides long. RefSeq lists it as uncharacterized. The record is from RefSeq and is a predicted model, not a curated record. Lineage: Eukaryota; Metazoa; Chordata; Aves; Galliformes; Phasianidae.
GCUGUUCCAAGUGGACUUGCUUCUCUGUUGUUACCUCAUGGAAUCUAUAGGAUUAGUGCUGCCAUGACCAGCAAAGCCCUGCUUGGGGACAGCAAGAGUAAGGCUCCCUUCUGGAAAUGAAAACCUGCUGUUGACGAUGCCAGAGGCAUUUAGAAAAGUCAUCACCAUGGUUUUAAGGAGGAAAAAGGUCCCAGCGAAACAGUGCUUCACCAAUGAAAACUGAACUGGUCUUUGUUUCUUACUAAAGAAAAUAGGAAACCCUCUGAAAGCUUUUCAGAAAACACAGUCUGAGUGUGGCCAGCCAGGAAUGCCAGCAAAUCCCAGCUCCUCAAAGGAAGCUCUUCAGUCUCUGAUAAAUUUUUUGAAUACCAGGUCUCCACAAAGAGGCAAAGCAAAACAGCUCAUGUGAAGAAAGAUGUGGCAGCAACCUGUGACAGUGCUCCUAGAGAGCAGCGCGUUGCAGCCGUGCCCUGCAGACCACCAGCAUCCCUGCUUUGCAUCACCCCAUCCAGCACUGAGAAGCACUUCUGUAGGCGAGGAGGUUUCCAUCUUCCAGGCUGUUUGGGCAUGGAGUGCUCCACCAAGGUCACUGACUUGCCCUGUUAUUCUGAAGAUCUCCAUACCCCUGUGACCCGUGUAGUCCGUAUGAACUAUCUACAGAGAUUAGAGGUACCAAUUCCUACCUUACUGUUAUUUGCUACUUCAUCAGUUUGUUUAGAUUCCCUAGAACUCAAGAUAAUCUGGUUUUUAAGUCUGAAUCCUCAUGAUUUCACACAAACAUUAGAUUUAUUGGCAGCCUAAAUGCUCAGUUGUGUGCAUUAUUUCCAUUGGAUCGAGAGCCGAUUGAAAACUGGAGGGGUGAACAUUUGCAUGGUCCAAGAAAUGAACUAGCACUGGAUCAUUCUUUUCCCCUCUGAGUUAUACUGACAGCAGCCAUAACAUCAAGGCUGAAAAGUUUAUUUACUAUGUAAAGACCGUAUUUUCUCUUCUUACCCCAGCUCUUUCUGGCUUGUGUUGCUUGGCAAUAUCCCAUCAGCCACUAACACCCAGAGGCGUGGCACUAUGAUGGGAUGAAAAAUGAACAUGCAGAAGAAUAUUGAAGAUUUAAGUGGGUUUGGUUCUAAGAAAACCAGUGGAAAACAUGUUUACUCCAAGCAUCUGUAGCACCUAAUUGAGGCAGUGAUAUUUUCUGUAAGAACAGAGGGAAUGACUUUCUGCUUUCUCUUUGGAUUUAAAUUUUGCUUUGAAUUGAUAUGACAUAAUUCAUGGAAUUAUUUUCUUACAGCUACACUGGAAACUUUCUGCCCAUAUAUGAGGAUGUGUUAAUCAGGGUGAAAAAGCUUGCAGUCAUUGGAGCUGAGUUGAUUUCUAGACUAUUUGUUUGGAACUGUUGCUUCCUCCCAAUUUGCAGAAAUCCAGUGCUCAGUAAACACUAUUAUUUUUGAGCUAUUAAUGUUGCUAUAAAUUUGAAUGCUAGAAAGAAGGCGGCAGAUUGUGAUUAAAAUGGACGUAAUCUA